GUAGGGUGCGAGCGUUGUCCGGAAUUACUGGGCGUAAAGAGCUUGUAGGCGGUUUGUCGCGUCGUCCGUGAAAACUUGGGGCUCAACCCCAAGCUUGCGGGCGAUACGGGCAGACUUGAGUACUUCAGGGGAGACUGGAAUUCCUGGUGUAGCGGUGAAAUGCGCAGAUAUCAGGAGGAACACCGGUGGCGAAGGCGGGUCUCUGGGAAGUAACUGACGCUGAGAAGCGAAAGCGUGGGUAGCGAACAGGAUUAGAUACCCUGGUAGUCCACGCCGUAAACGGUGGGCGCUAGGUGUGGGUUUCCUUCCACGGGAUCCGUGCCGUAGCUAACGCAUUAAGCGCCCCGCCUGGGGAGUACGGCCGCAAGGCUAAA
Molecule: ribosomal RNA, 374 nt
Filed under: uncultured bacterium
Lineage: Bacteria
Description: bacterial SSU rRNA
Rfam family: Bacterial small subunit ribosomal RNA
Source: RNAcentral